CUCCAGCCUCCCAGUCUCUCGGAAUCCGCAGCCUAGGUGUGGCGCCCCGACCGGACUUUCACUUCUGGCCAGCCCUUUCCCCACCUGGGCGCGGGAGCGGGUGCCAGUCUUUAAACAACCUCUCGAUGGGUCCCACGAAGAUGUUUCCAGACCCUUGGAAUGCCAAGUUCAACUAUGUCUCGCGGAGAGGCCGGUGGAAGAAGCAACGAGAAUGAAGCACCCCAGUUCUCUGCUGAGCACAUGGGCAUCUGCAAUAAAGAUUUAAUUUCCCAGCUUCUCCUGAAGCUCGGUAUGGCCACAACACUAAAUUCUGCCCGAGGAGAUUAAGCAAAAUAGUAUGGGACUUCCAAGAAAUGUUUUUAAAGUCAGGGGCAGGCCUUUCUUCAUGCCUUCUUCCUCUUUGCUGGCUGGAACGCAAAGACCAUGGCAGGAGGCCAAGCAGCCAUCCUGGAAGGUGAAAGCCUCAUACUAAGGACGUCAGACAGCGAAAUAAGAGCCUGGGUCCUUGACCCUGUAGACAUCUCCCUCCCCAUCCUGGUCUGUCUGCCUUGACUCCUUUCAUAUGAGAGAAAUAAACUUUUAACUUGCGUAAACCAGAAAGA
Molecule: long non-coding RNA, 602 nt
Filed under: Homo sapiens (human)
Lineage: Eukaryota; Metazoa; Chordata; Mammalia; Primates; Hominidae
Description: non-protein coding lnc-SLC39A6-1:8
Source: RNAcentral